UCAUAGUAAUAUAAGAAGUAUCAGUGCUUUUUCAAGGCACAUGUGGUUUAAUAACCCUAUGAU
This 63-nucleotide transfer RNA is filed under the name Cerion tridentatum costellata. RNAcentral's name for it is "tRNA-Glu". The record is from RNAcentral. Lineage: Eukaryota; Metazoa; Mollusca; Gastropoda; Stylommatophora; Cerionidae.